Oryza nivara is the source of this 193-nucleotide non-coding RNA. Lineage: Eukaryota; Viridiplantae; Streptophyta; Magnoliopsida; Poales; Poaceae. The record is from Rfam.
AAAAAGACAAACCCUGGUUUCCGUGUCCAACGUUUGACCGUUCGUCUUAUUUAAAAAAAAUUAAAAGACAAGUCAUGCAUAAAGUAUUAAUCAUGUUUUAUCAUCUAAUAACAAUGAAAAUACUAAUUAUAAAAAAAAUCAUAUAAAACGGACAGUCAAACGUUUGACACGGAAAUCCAGUGUUUGUCUUUUU